AAUGUUUAAAAUAUUGGAGAAUGGCCACUGGAAGAUAAACCCACAUUUAUUCCUCACAUACGUGAUGCAAGCAAAUUCUCUUUCAGGCUCUAUAUAAACCUCUGUAUCUCCCUUCACCUCUUCACACAACAUUUCAAGUUUGUUAUUUCUUCCUUUAAUUCAUACAAUGAAACAGCUUUUGUGUUAAAUAUAGAGGAAAUAUAAGGCUAACUGAUUGUGUCUCCUCAUAAGCCUUCUGACCCUUUCAGAAAUGAAUUUAAGAGGAGGAUCCACUUAACUGCAUAUCAUCUUUGUUUGAUUCUAUGGAGGUCAAAGGGUAAGGGAGGUGACAGAAGAGAGUGAGCACACAUGGCACUUUCUUGCACGAUGACGAUUCAUGCUUGAAGUUAUGCGUGCUCACUCUCUAUCUGUCACCCCACCACCAUCUCUCAAAUCUUUUCACUUUCUACAUAUACUUGUUUCUUUGUUUAUUUAUUUUCUUGCUUUCCCUUUUGGUGCUUGGACUAACCCUAAGUAGCAGCUUGGGACCUCACUAUGUAUCAGCCAAAUAAUAUUUACAACACAUCGAUCUCAUACAUAUCACAGGUUGUGAUAAUCUUGCCUCUAUGCUAUGCCUAUUGACAUAUAUUGAAAGGUGCAACCGAAACAGUGAUGUAUUUUCUUGUGGUUAGAAAAGGAAUAGAAAGCGUCUGAUGGAAAGCUUGUUGAUCGUGGGGUUAUAUAUAAUCUUCCUAGUUUAUUCUCUCUCUAUAUAUAUAUUAAUAAAUUAAAACUAACCAGAUCUAAGAAUUGUUUGAUGUCCAAAGAAAUGAGUGAUGACAUGGAUGUAUAAAUGUUUUCAUCUAUACUUGUUGUAGUAGUUCAAAUUCAAUUGGUAUCAUACCAAUUGGGGGAAGGGGGUCUUUGGGAUCACCAAUAUUCGGAUACUGGAAUCCAACUAUUUUGGAUCA
This is a long non-coding RNA of Cajanus cajan (pigeon pea), 950 nucleotides long. RefSeq lists it as uncharacterized. The record is from RefSeq and is a predicted model, not a curated record. Lineage: Eukaryota; Viridiplantae; Streptophyta; Magnoliopsida; Fabales; Fabaceae.